Molecule: small RNA, 1168 nt
Filed under: Pongo abelii (Sumatran orangutan)
Lineage: Eukaryota; Metazoa; Chordata; Mammalia; Primates; Hominidae
Description: retained intron
Source: RNAcentral
CUCAGCUUCCUCCGCACGGUUAUCCCUGUACCCGCCGCCAUCCAUCCUGGCGCUCCGGAUGAGUCAAUGAGGGGCAGCGCCCGAGGAAUGGUCUUCCCAAGAACCCCCGGUGGCCUCCCAAGGCCGGUGCUGUGUACCUCCUCCCCGACAAAAGGGGCAACUGAGGCCCCGAGGGGAGUGGGAAGAGCCGGCUGGACGUCAGGCCCAGCCGCUGGUGCGGUAGUCCGUCCCCUCCGCCGGGGUGGGCCCCUCGGGUUUCGCGUGUCCUCGGGAAAGAGACUGGCGGGCCUCGUGGGCUGUGCGGCUCUCCUGGAGACAGAUGACAGCUCUCCCUUGGAUGGCUUUGCUAGUUUCGCACCAGCCAGCGCCCCAUUUUUCCUGCAGCACCCUGAUCCGCACUCCCUGAGGGGCUCCCACUGUCCGCGGUGUGAGGAUGUCCCUGGUCCACUGUGUGCAGAGGCAUGGGAGUUGUCAUGUCGAUAACAUGCUAGACCUCAGUGUCCUUGAGCUUGAAGAAAGACAACAGAACACUGGAGACCAAGUACUUGCAGCCUUCUGCUCUGUGGCCCCUCCUCACUCCAGGGAUGCCGCCUUGGGUCUGGAGACUGUUAGAGGAAACCCCAAGAGGUGCAAGCACUGAGCCUCUCAGGACAAUGACCUGGGAUUCCACCUCCCCUGGAGGGGCCUCCUCAUGGUAAGCGAAUGCCAAGAGGUUAAGUCGGCCUGUGUUUCCGAGGUGGAAAUUCGAAGCCGCUGGCUUGAUUUGUCUUCUCUUUUAGAUUGUUUGGGGGUUGAUCACAGACCAAGAGUGAUGAGUGAUGUCACCCUGUGAUGCAUGGCUGGACCUUCUUGCCCCUAUUGUCUCAGCACAACAUUAAUCGACUUUUCCCUCAGCGUGGGUGGGCAGAGGAAAAGCCCUGUGGCUCUGGGGACUUGGGAUCCAGAGUUGAAGACCCUUCAGCUGGCUCUGCCCUGCCAGUGCCACAGAGUGCCAUGGCCCAGGAAGACUGGUUUUCUUCCAUCUAGGCCAGGCCAUCCAGUGGCCAUCCUUCGUGUCCUCCCACCUCCUUCUGGUGUGACUUCUGAAAACCAAGAAUUUGUUCCUGUUGACUUUUUCUGUGCUAUGGACCAUUGUCCUCUGACCCACUCAAUAAAUCUUGAAACAUGC